This 450-nucleotide ribosomal RNA is filed under the name uncultured bacterium. RNAcentral's name for it is "partial 16S ribosomal RNA". It matches the Rfam family "Bacterial small subunit ribosomal RNA", at positions 354 to 796 of the family's 1533-position model. The record is from RNAcentral.
GUGGGGAAUAUUGGACAAUGGGCGAAAGCCUGAUCCAGCCAUGCCGCGUGUGUGAAGAAGGUCUUCGGAUUGUAAAGCACUUUAAGUUGGGAGGAAGGGCAGUAAGUUAAUACCUUGCUGUUUUGACGUUACCGACAGAAUAAGCACCGGCUAACUUCGUGCCAGCAGCCGCGGUAAUACGAAGGGUGCAAGCGUUAAUCGGAAUUACUGGGCGUAAAGCGCGCGUAGGUGGUUUUGUAAGUUGGAGGUGAAAUCCCCGGGCGCAACCUGGGAACUGCCUACAAAACUGCAUGACUAGAGUACGGUAGAGGGUAGUGGAAUUUCCUGUGUAGCGGUGAAAUGCGUAGAUAUAGGAAGGAACACCAGUGGCGAAGGCGACUACCUGGACUGAUACUGACACUGAGGUGCGAAAGCGUGGGGAGCAAACAGGAUUAGAAACCCGUGUAGUCC